This 460-nucleotide ribosomal RNA is filed under the name uncultured bacterium. Its description in RNAcentral is "partial 16S ribosomal RNA". It matches the Rfam family "Bacterial small subunit ribosomal RNA", at positions 338 to 795 of the family's 1533-position model. The record is from RNAcentral.
CCUACGGGAGGCAGCAGUGAGGAAUAUUGGUCAAUGGACGAGAGUCUGAACCAGCCAAGUAGCGUGAAGGAUGACUGCCCUAUGGGUUGUAAACUUCUUUUAUAUGGGAAUAAAAUGUUCCACGUGUGGGAUUUUGUAUGUACCAUAUGAAUAAGGAUCGGCUAACUCCGUGCCAGCAGCCGUGGUAAUACGGAGGAUCCGAGCGUUAUCCGGAUUUAUUGGGUUUAAAGGGAGCGUAGGUGGAUUGUUAAGUCAGUUGUGAAAGUUUGCGGCUCAACCGUAAAAUUGCAGUUGAAACUGGCAGUCUUGAGUACAGUAGAGGUGGGCGGAAUUCGUGGUGUAGCGGUGAAAUGCUUAGAUAUCACGAAGAACUCCGAUUGCGAAGGCAGCUCACUGGACUGCAACUGACACUGAGGCUCGAAAGCGUGGGGAGCAAACAGGAUUAGAUACCCUUGUAGUC